ACAAAAAAUACACCAUCAUUGGGAAAACUGCUGGUGAGAAAAGCUCAUAUCGUUGUGAACCUGUAAAAAAAUAUUAGUUAUUUGUCUGGAGGACAUCACGUUCCAAGUUUUUCUUGAUCUAUGGCCAAAUUGAUAGCAAACGGUGCUCAGUAUACUACAAUCAAUAUUUUGGCUUCGUUCUGACAGAACUACUAAGUAAAAAUGCACUUGUAAAAAAAUGAUAUCUCGUAUAUACUUGAUGAUACAUUCAUAGAAAUGACAUUUGGAUGCACAAUAUAUACAUACAAUCGUUCAAUUUUCAUUCCUCUUCUUUAGAAUCUUUAUUUCCAUUAUCAUAAUCUACUUUAUCGUUUAGAUUUUAAUUGUUUAAAUAUUUCACAACUAUCAAAUAUCAGUCUUAAUUUUUUUUCAAAAUGUUUGUAUACGAUUUAUUCUAUAUUAUAUACUACGUACACUGAAAAAAAUCCUCCGGUAAAAUCUUCGAAUGCAUUAUCAAAACAC
This is a long non-coding RNA of Daktulosphaira vitifoliae (grape phylloxera), 501 nucleotides long. RefSeq lists it as uncharacterized. The transcript is spliced from 3 exons. Lineage: Eukaryota; Metazoa; Arthropoda; Insecta; Hemiptera; Phylloxeridae. The record is from RefSeq and is a predicted model, not a curated record.